CCUUUUGUAUAAUGGGUCAGCGACUUAUAUUCUGUAGCAAGGUUAACCGAAUAGGGGAGCCGAAGGGAAACCGAGUCUUAACUGGGCGUUAAGUUGCAGGGUAUAGACCCGAAACCCGGUGAUCUAGCCAUGGGCAGGUUGAAGGUUGGGUAACACUAACUGGAGGACCGAACCGACUAAUGUUGAAAAAUUAGCGGAUGACUUGUGGCUGGGGGUGAAAGGCCAAUCAAACCGGGAGAUAGCUGGUUCUCCCCGAAAGCUAUUUAGGUAGCGCCUCGUGAAUUCAUCUCCGGGGGUAGAGCACUGUUUCGGCAAGGGGGUCAUCCCGACUUACCAACCCGAUGCAAACUGCGAAUACCGGAGAAUGUUAUCACGGGAGACACACGGCGGGUGCUAACGUCCGUCGUGAAGAGGGAAACAACCCAGACCGCCAGCUAAGGUCCCAAAGUCAUGGUUAAGUGGGAAACGAUGUGGGAAGGCCCAGACAGCCAGGAUGUUGGCUUAGAAGCAGCCAUCAUUUAAAGAAAGCGUAAUAGCUCACUGGUCGAGUCGGCCUGCGCGGAAGAUGUAACGGGGCUAAACCAUGCACCGAAGCUGCGGCAGCGACACUGUGUGUUGUUGGGUAGGGGAGCGUUCUGUAAGCCUGUGAAGGUGUGCUGUGAGGCAUGCUGGAGGUAUCAGAAGUGCGAAUGCUGACAUAAGUAACGAUAAAGCGGGUGAAAAGCCCGCUCGCCGGAAGACCAAGGGUUCCUGUCCAACGUUAAUCGGGGCAGGGUGAGUCGACCCCUAAGGCGAGGCCGAAAGGCGUAGUCGAUGGGAAACAGGUUAAUAUUCCUGUACUUGGUGUUACUGCGAAGGGGGGACGGAGAAGGCUAUGUUGGCCGGGCGACGGUUGUCCCGGUUUAAGCGUGUAGGCUGGUUUUCCAGGCAAAUCCGGAAAAUCAAGGCUGAGGCGUGAUGACGAGGCACUACGGUGCUGAAGCAACAAAUGCCCUGCUUCCAGGAAAAGCCUCUAAGCAUCAGGUAACAUCAAAUCGUACCCCAAACCGACACAGGUGGUCAGGUAGAGAAUACCAAGGCGCUUGAGAGAACUCGGGUGAAGGAACUAGGCAAAAUGGUGCCGUAACUUCGGGAGAAGGCACGCUGAUAUGUAGGUGAAGUCCCUCGCGGAUGGAGCUGAAAUCAGUCGAAGAUACCAGCUGGCUGCAACUGUUUAUUAAAAACACAGCACUGUGCAAACACGAAAGUGGACGUAUACGGUGUGACGCCUGCCCGGUGCCGGAAGGUUAAUUGAUGGGGUCAGCGCAAGCGAAGCUCUUGAUCGAAGCCCCGGUAAACGGCGGCCGUAACUAUAACGGUCCUAAGGUAGCGAAAUUCCUUGUCGGGUAAGUUCCGACCUGCACGAAUGGCGUAAUGAUGGCCAGGCUGUCUCCACCCGAGACUCAGUGAAAUUGAACUCGCUGUGAAGAUGCAGUGUACCCGCGGCAAGACGGAAAGACCCCGUGAACCUUUACUAUAGCUUGACACUGAACAUUGAGCCUUGAUGUGUAGGAUAGGUGGGAGGCUUUGAAGUGUGGACGCCAGUCUGCAUGGAGCCGACCUUGAAAUACCACCCUUUAAUGUUUGAUGUUCUAACGUGGACCCGUGAUCCGGGUUGCGGACAGUGUCUGGUGGGUAGUUUGACUGGGGCGGUCUCCUCCUAAAGAGUAACGGAGGAGCACGAAGGUUGGCUAAUCCUGGUCGGACAUCAGGAGGUUAGUGCAAUGGCAUAAGCCAGCUUGACUGCGAGCGUGACGGCGCGAGCAGGUGCGAAAGCAGGUCAUAGUGAUCCGGUGGUUCUGAAUGGAAGGGCCAUCGCUCAACGGAUAAAAGGUACUCCGGGGAUAACAGGCUGAUACCGCCCAAGAGUUCAUAUCGACGGCGGUGUUUGGCACCUCGAUGUCGGCUCAUCACAUCCUGGGGCUGAAGUAGGUCCCAAGGGUAUGGCUGUUCGCCAUUUAAAGUGGUACGCGAGCUGGGUUUAGAACGUCGUGAGACAGUUCGGUCCCUAUCUGCCGUGGGCGCUGGAGAACUGAGGGGGGCUGCUCCUAGUACGAGAGGACCGGAGUGGACGCAUCACUGGUGUUCGGGUUGUCAUGCCAAUGGCACUGCCCGGUAGCUAAAUGCGGAAGAGAUAAGUGCUGAAAGCAUCUAAGCACGAAACUUGCCCCGAGAUGAGUUCUCCCUGACCCUUUAAGGGUCCUGAAGGAACGUUGAAGACGACGACGUUGAUAGGCCGGGUGUGUAAGCGCAGCGAUGCGUUGAGCUAACCGGUACUAAUGAACCGUGAGGCUUAACCU
Molecule: ribosomal RNA, 2339 nt
Filed under: Escherichia coli Tx1686
Lineage: Bacteria; Pseudomonadati; Pseudomonadota; Gammaproteobacteria; Enterobacterales; Enterobacteriaceae
Description: bacterial LSU rRNA
Rfam family: Bacterial large subunit ribosomal RNA
Source: RNAcentral